UCUGGUUGAUCCUGCCAGUAGUCAUAUGCUUGUCUCAAAGAUUAAGCCAUGCAUGUCUAAGUAUAAAUAGUAUACAGUGAAACUGCGAAUGGCUCAUUAAAACAGUUAUAGUUUAUUUGAUAAUUGACAAUUACAUGGAUAACCGUGGUAAUUCUAGAGCUAAUACAUGCUUAAACGCCCGACUUUAUGGAAGGGUGGUAUUUAUUAGACUGAAGCCAAUAUUCCUUGUGUCUAUUGCGGUGAUUCAUCAUAACUGAUCGAAUCUCUUUUUGAGAUAAAUCAUUCAAGUUUCUGCCCUAUCAGCUUUCGAUGGUAGUGUAUUGGACUACCAUGGCAGUAACGGGUAACGAAGAAUUAGGGUUCGAUUUCGGAGAGGGAGCAUGAGAAACGGCUACCACAUCUAAGGAAGGCAGCAGGCGCGUAAAUUACCCAAUCCUGACUCAGGGAGGUAGUGACAAGAAAUAGCAAACCGGGAACCUCAUGGUUUCACGGUAUUGCAAUGAGAACAAUUUAAAACCCUUAGCGAGAAUCAAGUGGAGGACAAGUCUGGUGCCAGCACCCGCGGUAAUUCCAGCUCCACUAGCGUAUAUUAAAGUUGUUGCAGUUAAAAAGCUCGUAGUUGAACCUCUGUCUGGGGCUAGUUUUGGCUUUGGUCAGGCUAGUUCUAGGCAUCCGCCUACAAGACUUAGAGGGCAUUCAGUUGUUCACUAGGAGGAGUAGGCAUUUUACUUUGAAAAAAUUAGAGUGUUUAAGGCAGGCAAUCGCCCGCAUAUAUUAGCAUGGAAUAAUAGAAUAGGACACUUUUCCAUUUCGUUGGUUAUUGGAAUCGUGUAAUGAUUAAUAGGGACAGUUGUGGGCAUUUGUAUUUAAUUGUCAGAGGUGAAAUUCUUGGAUUUAUUAAAGACAAACUAACGCGAAAGCAUUUGCCAAGGAUGUUUUCAUUAAUCAAGAGCGAAAGUUAGGGGAUCAAAGACGAUCAGAUACCGUCCUAGUCUUAACUAUAAACUAUUCCGACUCAAUGUUUGACUGGCUUAUAUAACCAGUUGAGCGUUGUAUGAGAAAUCAAAGUCUUUAGGUUCUGGGGGGAGUAUGGUUGCAAAGCUGAAACUUAAAGGAAUUGACGGAAGAGCACAACCAGGAGUGGAUUCUGCGGCUUAAUUUGACUCAACACGGGGAAACUUACCAGGUUAAAACAAUAGUGGGAUUGACAGUUUGAGAGCGCUUUCUUGAUUGGUUGGGUGGUGGUGCAUGGCCGUUCUUAGUUGGUGGAGUGAUUUGUCUGCUUAAUUGCGUUAACGAACGAGACCUUAACCUGCUUACUAGA
Molecule: ribosomal RNA, 1324 nt
Filed under: metagenome
Description: SSU rRNA
Rfam family: Eukaryotic small subunit ribosomal RNA
Source: RNAcentral